RNAcentral lists this non-coding RNA (93 nucleotides) under marine eukaryotic metagenome. The record is from RNAcentral.
GACGGAUUCAAAAAUUCCAGAUGCGCAAUAUGGUAUUGAAAAAGCUAUGACCUUCGCACUUGCUGCGCAUGCUGGCGCUAAUCGGCUUUGUGA